This 1438-nucleotide ribosomal RNA is filed under the name uncultured bacterium. RNAcentral's name for it is "bacterial SSU rRNA". It matches the Rfam family "Bacterial small subunit ribosomal RNA". The record is from RNAcentral.
GACGAACGCUGGCGGCGUGCUUAACACAUGCAAGUCGAACGGAAAGGCCCUUCGGGGUACUCGAGUGGCGAACGGGUGAGUAACACGUGGGUGAUCUGCCCUGCACUUUGGGAUAAGCCUGGGAAACUGGGUCUAAUACCGAAUAGGACCACGCGCUUCAUGGUGUGUGGUGGAAAGCUUUUGCGGUGUGGGAUGGGCCCGCGGCCUAUCAGCUUGUUGGUGGGGUAAUGGCCUACCAAGGCGACGACGGGUAGCCGGCCUGAGAGGGUGACCGGCCACACUGGGACUGAGAUACGGCCCAGACUCCUACGGGAGGCAGCAGUGGGGAAUAUUGCACAAUGGGCGCAAGCCUGAUGCAGCGACGCCGCGUGAGGGAUGACGGCCUUCGGGUUGUAAACCUCUUUCAAUAGGGACGAAGCGCAAGUGACGGUACCUAUAGAAGAAGCACCGGCCAACUACGUGCCAGCAGCCGCGGUAAUACGUAGGGUGCGAGCGUUGUCCGGAAUUACUGGGCGUAAAGAGCUCGUAGGUGGUUUGUCGCGUUGUUCGUGAAAACUCACAGCUUAACUGUGGGCGUGCGGGCGAUACGGGCAGACUAGAGUACUGCAGGGGAGACUGGAAUUCCUGGUGUAGCGGUGGAAUGCGCAGAUAUCAGGAGGAACACCGGUGGCGAAGGCGGGUCUCUGGGCAGUAACUGACGCUGAGGAGCGAAAGCGUGGGGAGCGAACAGGAUUAGAUACCCUGGUAGUCCACGCCGUAAACGGUGGGUACUAGGUGUGGGUUCCUCCUUGGGAUCCGUGCCGUAGCUAACGCAUUAAGUACCCCGCCUGGGGAGUACGGCCGCAAGGCUAAAACUCAAAGGAAUUGACGGGGGCCCGCACAAGCGGCGGAGCAUGUGGAUUAAUUCGAUGCAACGCGAAGAACCUUACCUGGGUUUGACAUGCACAGGACGCCGGCAGGGAUGUCGGUUCCCUUGUGGCCUGUGUGCAGGUGGUGCAUGGCUGUCGUCAGCUCGUGUCGUGAGAUGUUGGGUUAAGUCCCGCAACGAGCGCAACCCUUGUCCUAUGUUGCCAGCGGGUUAUGCCGGGGACUCGUAGGAGACUGCCGGGGUCAACUCGGAGGAAGGUGGGGAUGACGUCAAGUCAUCAUGCCCCUUAUGUCCAGGGCUUCACACAUGCUACAAUGGCCGGUACAAAGGGCUGCGAUGCCGUGAGGUGGAGCGAAUCCUUUCAAAGCCGGUCUCAGUUCGGAUCGGGGUCUGCAACUCGACCCCGUGAAGUCGGAGUCGCUAGUAAUCGCAGAUCAGCAACGCUGCGGUGAAUACGUUCCCGGGCCUUGUACACACCGCCCGUCACGUCAUGAAAGUCGGUAACACCCGAAGCCGGUGGCCUAACCCUUGUGGAGGGAGCCGUCGAAGGUGGGAUCGGCGAUUGGGACG